GCAGUUUGCGGACCCAAGGGCCAGGCGGCGACUGUUUCCUCGGCACAGCACAAAGGCGGCUCGUGAAGAGAGGUGUGGGCAGGUAGCUGAAGUCUGGGGGAGGGCGGUGCUGGCGGCUUCAAGAGCCUCUGCACACGCCCCUCCAACGAACAGCCAAAUGUCUGGAAAAUAAAAGGAUGACCAGUGGAGAAAGAAACGUAACCAAUAAGAGAUAUGUGAGGAGAUUUAUUAUGAUAAACUGCUCACAGAUUAUGGACCCUGAGAAGACCCACAGUCUACCACCUGCAAGUUGGAGACUCAGGAAAGCCAGCGGUGUCAUUCCACUCUGAGUUUGAAAGCCUGAGAAUCAGGGCAGCUGAUGGUAUAAAUCCUAGUCUGAAGACAAGGGAAGACCAAUAUCCAGCUCAGGGAGCAGACAGAAAGCAAAAGGGGGUUCACAGCCAGUCCAGGACUGGCUCCACAUGUCAGGCGUGGACGAAGUUGUGCAGAAGUGUAAUUACGUCGUGGUCAAUGCAGUGUUCGCUUUUGUAAGUCAGCGCAAAACAUGCCACAGACACAUUCUGUGAAUAACGUUCUGUGGCUAAAAUUCCUUGUAAUGAAAACACAAAGUUAUAUGAAAUAGAAUGACACUUGCUACUCCAGUUAACUCCACUCUGUACCUGGGGGUUCUGACUCCAUAUGUGGUUUUGGCGGUGUGUUGCUGUGCUAGAUCCUUCCACAUUCAACAAGUGGCAGACUAUGUAAAAGGUAAGAGUCCCCAGGGCAAAGUCACUGAGCCAUGAUAUCUGUAAUUUAUACUGGGGCAUCUGAAACCUGUAUGAGAAUUUUCAAGAAACCCAUAGGAAUGGGAAUAUCACAUACAAAUUGAGCACAAUGAGAAACUUUUUAAUAGGGUCCAAGGGAGAACAAAAGAGGUAGAUCUCCACAGCCUCGGAAGAGUCAACAGCAGUGGAAAGAAGGCAAGUUUUUCCCAGAGUCCUCAUGUGGAGCACCUGUGCCCUUUCUUUCCAUCUGAUCUCCUAACACAGAGAAGCACAACCUCAGAGAAUACAGCUUGUCCCCCACGGACUUGUUCCUGGCCCCUGAAGUUGUCCUCAUAGGGGGUCCCUGGGCUCCAUCUGCAGCUAUUCUGCCAACCCCCUUCCUACAACCAAGCUCCCCAGGCACAAUCUUGGUCAGGAACAACUUAAGGAAAUUGAGCCUGGAAUUCAGUGUCUGCUUUAGUUCUGAUACUCAGGCUUGUUCCAUCCCUAUUCAUUGGUCUUAGAACUGCCUCCCUGCUGUAUUUCUUCUCCUUGUCUUGGUGAUUUAUCUCUUAAGGGUCCUUCAAGAACUAAAGCUCACCUCGUUACUAUUUUCAGCCUCCAGGCCUCUUUUGGACCUCAGAUGAAGGGCUGGGACUGUCAGUCCCUGACAGUUUCUGGAUUCUUCAGCAUUAUGCCCCAAAGCUGGCAGCCUUCUGGUUGGACUACAGCCAGGUCAGAUACAGACUUCCUUUGCUGUUAGGCUUGGCCUAUACCCCUAUUGCCUGCCUGCCGCCGCCGUAUAGGCAGAAGCAGCUCCCAAAUCUUCCCUUUCCCAUCCAUCCUGCCUUCUUCAGGUUAACUAGGUCAUUUCAGACAGUGUCCCAAGGUAGGAAGGCUUGAGCUCAAGAGGCUAACUUCUUCCUGCUGAGUGCUAACUGCAGCUAGAAGAGUAAUUCCUAUAGCUCUGUAUCAAGAUGCUUCUUCUUUUGUGACUGCCAUGCUCUUCAGGCUUUAUUUAGGACUGUUAAUGUCAUGUACGCUAUUUACUGGUCAAAUUAAGACUAUUAUUAUAGAGUCACUGAAAGUCUUGAUUUUAAAGAUAACUUCAUGUUUUAGGAAAAUAAUCAUGAUUUAAUGUUUGGGGGGCAAGCAGGAUACAGAACUAUGUCAAGCUGUGUGAGCUCAUUGUGGCAGACAUCAUGUGGGAUUUGGGCUGCUCAGUAUCUAAACUCCCUUCCCAGGUUUAAGGAAUUUCCCACCAUGUGAUUCUACAUGUGCAGUGAAGGCCCCCUACCUUUAGAGAAGCAAAGAAUUAAGAGGCCUUUCUGUCACUGCUCCCUGACAGCUGGGGCAGGCAUGUGGCCUUGACUCAAUUAAGCACCCACCCAGACUUGGAAUUGGGGACCAGCGAUUCACAGAAGCAAGGACUAUGGAAACUCCAUCCUAUCAGUGAAGGUGACACAGUUACCAGGGCAGCAGGGCUGUCAGGGCCAGCAGAACCAGCAUUGUAUCUGGCCUCUGGUUCUGUUUCAGUUAUUGUAUUUUGCAUCUCUUCUUGCUUAAGUUUUAUAUUUUGUAUCUCUUUGCUCAGUGUUUCCUGUAAAUUAUCCGUCUUUGCCUCCAGUUUAUUUCUAAUGUCUUGCAUCAUCUUCUGCAUCAACAGUCUAAAGUCUUUUUCCUGGAGGCUGAGAAUCUUCUAAUCACUUAGCUGUUUUUCUGGGAUUUUUUUUCUUUCUCCCUUCUCUGACUUAUAGUUCUCUGUCUUUUCAUUUUUAUAGGUUUUUGGUCUGGUGACUUUUUUUACAGAUAAUAGAGUUGUAGCCUCUCUUAAUUCUGGCAUCCGCCCCCCUUGUGGCUGAAGUUGGUAUAGGGGCUUGCUGUAGGCUUCCUAAUGGGAGGGACUGAUGCCUGUCCGCUGGUAGGUGGUGCUGAUUCCUAUCCCUCUGGUGGGUGGGGCUUUGUCUCUGGGUGAGAUUAGAGGCACUGGAGUGCCUGGGGGGUCUUUAGGCAGCCUGUUUACUGAUGGGCAGGGCUGUGAUCCCACCUGGACUGUUGUUUGGCCUGAGGCUUCUCAGCCUGAUGGGUGGAGCCAGAUUUUCCCAAAAUGGCCACCUCUCGAUGUGGCCUCCUCUUUGUCUUCUGGAGUAGGAUAUCUUGUUGAAAGUUUCCAGUCCAUUUGGUUGAAGGUUGUUCAGCAUUUGGUUGUAAAUUUUGUUGUUUUUAGGAGAGAAGUUGAGCUCCAGUCCUACUAUUCUGCCAUCUUAAUCCCAUCUCCUCUGGUUCUGUUUUUUUAAAACCCUCCUUUGUCAUUUUUACUCUUUUUCAGGACUGGUUCUCUAGGCUUUCCUGUGAAUUUCUGAACUAACAAAUAUCUUUUCAGUAAAUUCCUUUCUUCUUAAAGGAGUAACAGCUUUUUCUGUUCAUUGCAGCUAAGAAUUCUGACAAGUGUACCAAUGCUUUUUAAAAUGCAAAGAGAAAAGACUUGAUGUACACUCAUUGUUAAUGAUGGUUAUCUUUAGGUGUAUAGAAUCACAGAUCAUUUUAGUUUUCUUCUUUUUUCCUGGGAACAUUUCCUAAAAAUUUCAGUAAAGUGGUAUUACCUUAGCAGUCAAGAAAGAGCUAAGUUUUAAAAUUGGAGAUUUCCUUGGAUCUCUGAAGUCCUUAAUUGUUGGAAAACAAUUACCUUGAUUAAUCAAGUGGAAUUUUAUUUUGGCACCUGUGACUUCAGUUUUGGCUUGGGCAAGUCAUAGGUAUUGGGGUAAGAGAAAUGCCAAUAUAUUUUGUGAAAAAAAAAAAAACCCCCGAGACCAGUUCUUACCUCGCAAUCCUGGUCUACUUAUAUUUUUUAUUUGUUUUAGAACUCUAUAGUCCUUUGAUGGGAGGCCUGAGAAUAUUGGACUAUUUUUAGAGAACUUUAACCCAAUUCCAAGCAAUAAGGAGUUUCUUAACACUAAUGUUUAUAAAUGUGUAUAAGCACAGGAACACUGCUCGUAUGAUUCUUUGUUGGUUUCUCCUAAGUAGCUAUCCCAACAGUUUUGUGAAUACUGUAAAUAAUAGUCUAAAAAUACCAGGAUAUUGAACCUACCAGUAAUUCGUGCAGUUGGCUGAGCAGCUACCAGCAAUGGUGUGAGUAACACAGUGGAAACUGUAUAAUGGUGUCCUUCAUUAGAACUAAAUCCCAGCUAUCAAGAGAAAACAAAGAUCACCAUUGAUAGGAAGCAGUGGUCGUCUUGUUUCUAUAAGAGCCUGGGGAGUUUUCAGUAUCCCCGCCUCCCUCUAGGAGAUUGCCUGCUUUUGACCAUGGGUGAGAGAUCAAAGUUACAUGGGAUGAGAGUCUCUUGCCCCUCCAUCAACACUGCUGAGACAGCAGUCAAGGGAACUCUGAAUCUGAUCCAGUUGUGAUCACUGAGUUGCUGCAGCCCUCAGAGUGUGGGGACCCUAUUGAUCAUGCCAAAUGAAGCAUCAAAGCACAGUAAAAUGGAAGAAGCAUAGCAUUUAGUCCAAUGGACUUGGUGUUAGAGCCCAGUCCAAAUAGCCACCAGCUGAUCACAUGAGGCUUUCUGAGCCUCGGUUUCACUACAGAAUGUAGAUAAAAGAAACACCUCAUAGUAUCAAAGGAAAUAGCCCAUGUAAAACUCUGAGUACAGUUUCUGGCUUAUAAUGGGUACUCAGUAAAUGGGACUUCUCUUCCAUCCAUGAGCUCUGCUCCCUUUAUUUUUCUGGGAAAUCCUUUAUCUUUUAGAAAGAGUGACUUCAGAUGCAAUUUUUGCAGAGAUAGUUAUUUUUUCCCAACCUCUCAAAUCUAGUAAAAUGCUAAAAUUACCUUCUAAUUAUUUUCUGGAAAGAGGUGCCUUGCCUGAACCAUGAAAAAUUAUCAAAAAAGGGAAACAUUCGUAGCUCAAUGAAUGAUCUGUGUCAAUAUUGCGUGUGACAAAUAUAUCAUCAUUUAACAUGUAGGAAUCAGCAUUAAAGUGCAGGGAAAAGGUAUUAGAGCAAGCCCAUGAGGUUGAAUAGUGCAACAAAAAAAGAUUGACAUUUGCUUAGUGAGGAUGCCAAGCUUGAGUGAUAAUCAACACUUUCUUCUGCUUGUUGAAUAAGAGGAAUACUCCGUAUUGAGCAAAAUGCCUUCAUAAACUGCUUGGGUGUAGCUAAUUUAUUUGGACAUUAAGAUAUAGUUUUCCCAUAUCCUUCCAAAUAGCAUUUUUGUUGCCAAUAUGUAAAUGGGUCUCCAGUCUCUCAGAAGGUGACACAAGAAAAGAAGUGCAGAAAAGAAGGAAAAUCAAACUAGAAAAGAAAAGAAGCCCUGUCCAAAAAAAUCAAUAAUUUUGCUACUGAGAAAUUGCUACCAUCCUUAUUCAGGAAGGGGUGGAAAGAUCAGACCAAGCUAACUUGUGUGAUAAAUGAGUUUAUAAAGUAGCCUGUACCAGGAGACUAAUUUAAUUGGCUGCUUAAAGUCUGAUAAUAUACCAUGCUACUACAAAUUUUUUCCUUUAUUUUAAUCUUCAAUUUAAGCUGAGUAUAAGGCACACCAUGUCUGCCUAAUGGGACAAGGAACACCAAUUGCUGCUGGGGGCAUACAACCACCUGUGGUAGGAAUUCCCUUUUGGCACAGAAGGUUAAGGAUCCAGCAUUGUCACUGCAGUGGCUUGGGUCACUUCUGUGGUGUGGCUUCGAUUCCUGGCCUGGGAACUUCCAUAUGCCAUGGUG
This 5453-nucleotide long non-coding RNA is filed under the name Sus scrofa (pig). RNAcentral describes it as "lncRNA (ENSSSCG00035049091.1)". Lineage: Eukaryota; Metazoa; Chordata; Mammalia; Artiodactyla; Suidae. The record is from RNAcentral.